AAGUAAACCGGAUGUUGUGGCGUGUCGUAACAUACGCAUAUUCAAUCCAGCGUUUGUCACCACAGUAACGGUAUUACAGUAAUGUUUACAAUACGCGUUUGUAUCAUUUAUUUGAACGUGUCAGUGCCUGUUUACGAAGCAGAACUGGCACAUCCAAUAUGGCGGACGUGCUGACGUUCCACAGCAACUCAAUGUGGGUUCUAUUUACUUGUGCUGCCUAACCCUGUGUUAGCAGCUAGCGCUCUGGACGGCCGAUCGUUUGCGAAGCUCGCUGGACGGAGAAUCGCCGAUUGUUUUGCCGAACUGGCUCACUGUAAUUUGGAACGACACACGUCCAUCGUUUUCUCCAAUUGUCCAUCCGAUGAAAAGACGUUGUUGUUGGCGCGGCAGGCGAAGAUGUGCGAGGAGCAGACGGUGUCUCUGGUGGACGUCGUGCAGGAGGACGACGAGCUGCAAGAAGAAGCUUCCGCCGUGCUGGCGGGAAGCGACUCGGAGCGCUGCUCGUAUCCGCAGGGCUACGUGAAGCGUCAGGCUCUGUACGCCUGCAACACGUGCACGCCGAAAGGAGGCCAAGCGGCCGGCGUAUGUUUGGCGUGUUCCUACAAGUGUCACGAAGGUCACGACCUGUUUGAGCUCUACACCAAGAGGAACUUCCGCUGCGACUGCGGAAACGGGAAGUUUGCGGACGUGCCGUGUAAACUCUUUCACGCCAAGGAUGACGUCAACGGCUUGAACAAAUACAGCCACAACUUCUUCGGGGAGUACUGCACUUGCCGCCGGCCGUACCCCGACCCGGAAGACCAGGUGGACGAUGAAAUGAUUCAGUGCGUGUUGUGCGAGGACUGGCUGCACGGCCGGCACCUCGGCUGCGACGUCCCCGACUGCGUGGAGCUGCGCGAGAUGAUCUGCGAGUCGUGUAUGAACACAAACGCCUUCCUGUGGAGCUACGCCGCUCGCCUGGCAGUUCCAGGCGCUGCGGUCGAGUCGGAUGCGGCGAAGGAGACGGGCGCGGACGCCGUUCGGGCCGACGAGGAGGACGACGCCACGGAGCCGAGCCGCAAACGAGUUCGCGUGGAGGAAGGGGAGCCGAGCUGCGGACUGAAGGCGCUUCAGAGCGCCGGCGCCGAGCGAGUCGGGUCCGGAGCGGUCUUCUGGCGUUCGGGGUGGCGCUCCCGGCUGUGCCGCUGUGACGCCUGUCAGGCGAGUCUGUCGGCGGCGGGUCUCUCCUUCCUGCUGGACGAGUCGGACACGGUCCUGGCGUACGAGAAGAAAGGCGAGAGCGAAGAAGGCGGCGCUCCGGGUCACGACCCCCUCAUGUCGGCGCUGGACAACCUGAACCGCGUGCAGCAGCUGGAGAUCAUCCACGGGUACAACGACAUGAAGAGCGAGCUGAAGGACUUCCUGCAGGGAUUCGUCGCCGAAGGGAAGCAAGCGAAGACGACCGCCACAUUACAGAGCGAGCGCUGCCCGGCGUGACCACGGCCAGCGGAGCGGCGAUGAAGAAGGUCGUCCAGGGUUUUCUCGGCGGCGCCGAGCGGGUCCCGGCGAAGGCGGGCGCGGCCUUCGUCCACAGCAAACCUCCCAGGCAGCGCAUCGGAGCCGGGCAAAGUUUUUUGGUCAUGUCCGUGUUUGCGGUGGCCAUGUUGGCGCCGGCGGCGUGGAUCGUCCACCAUCUGCCCGAGUAUCGCCGCAGGAGCCGCCGGAAGCCCGCCGGCUGAAAGACGCGUCCGGCGAGCUCGACGUCCUCGUCCUCCCGCCGCGUUUCCCUUCACGUCAACGUCACAAUAAACGGAAACAAACCUCCGAAA
This is an RNA transcript of Phyllopteryx taeniolatus (common seadragon), 1808 nucleotides long. It is a transcript of the gene named putative E3 ubiquitin-protein ligase UBR7, with no coding region annotated. The transcript is spliced from 13 exons. The record is from RefSeq and is a predicted model, not a curated record. Lineage: Eukaryota; Metazoa; Chordata; Actinopteri; Syngnathiformes; Syngnathidae.